CAAUAGCGUAUAUUAAAGUUGUUGCAGUUAAAAAGCUCGUAGUCGGAUUUCGGGUCGGGCCGAGCGGUCUGCCGAUGGGUAUGCACUGUUUGGCGCGGCCUUCUUUCCGGAGACCGCGGCUACUCUUAACUGAGCGGGCGUGGGAGACGGAUCGUUUACUUUGAAAAAAUCAGAGUGUUUCUAGCAGGCAGCUCGCUCUUGCAUAGGUUAGCAUGGGAUAAUUUAAUAGGACUCUGGUGCUAUUUUGUUGGUUUCGAACACCGGAGUAAUGAUUAAAAGGGGCAGUCAGGGGCACUCUAUUCGUCGAGAGAGGUGAAUACUCAGACCAAUAGAGACGAACCAACUGCGAAGACAUUUGUCCAGGAGUGUUUUCUACUGAUCAAGAACGAAAG
This 392-nucleotide ribosomal RNA is filed under the name uncultured eukaryote. Its description in RNAcentral is "SSU rRNA". It matches the Rfam family "Eukaryotic small subunit ribosomal RNA", at positions 592 to 989 of the family's 1831-position model. The record is from RNAcentral.